GUCCCAGUAGUGCAAUGGGUAGCGAGUUGGACUUCUAAUCCAAAGGUCGUGGGUUCGAAUCCCGCCUGGGAUA
Molecule: non-coding RNA, 73 nt
Organism: Trichonephila inaurata madagascariensis
Lineage: Eukaryota; Metazoa; Arthropoda; Arachnida; Araneae; Nephilidae
Source: the annotation of a GenBank genome assembly